This 806-nucleotide ribosomal RNA is filed under the name Porina alba. Its description in RNAcentral is "SSU rRNA". It matches the Rfam family "Bacterial small subunit ribosomal RNA", at positions 361 to 1214 of the family's 1533-position model. The record is from RNAcentral. Lineage: Eukaryota; Fungi; Ascomycota; Lecanoromycetes; Ostropales; Porinaceae.
AUAUUGGUCAAUAGCCUAACGGCUGAACCAGCAACUUGGAAGAAUGAAAGAUGCAACACUGCAUCGUUAUAAUGAAAAAUUAUAGUAGUAACUACGUUACAUUAAGUUCUAGGUAAAUUUUUGAUUAUGACAUAAUUUAUCUAUAAGUCUUGACCAAAUCAUGUGCCAGCAGUCGCGGUAAGACAUGGAAGACAAGUGUUAUUCAUGAUUAGUGGGUUUAAAGGGUACUCAGACAGUUAAUUAAGCCUAUAUAUAAUACAGGAACUAAUUAUACUAGAGUUUUAUAGGAGAAGGAUAGAACGGUGAGUGGAGAGAUGAAAUAUGUUGAUACCACCUAGAUACUGGCAACAGUGAAGACAACCUUUUAUGUAAUAACUGACGUUAAAGGACGAAGGCUCAAGAGAAAGCAACAGGAUUAGAUACCCCAGUACUGUGGGCAGACAAUGAUGAGUGUCAUAGGUAAGUUAUUUAAUUUAACAAACAAAUUAUAAGUUUACGUAUAAAUGAAAGUGCAAGCACUCCACCUUAAGAGUAACAUGGCAACAUCGGAACUGAAAUCAUUAGACCGUUUCUGAAACCAGUAGUGAAGUAUGUUGUUUAAUUUGAUGAUCCACAAAGAACCUUACCACAAUUUGAAUUAUUCACAGGAGUUGCACGGCUGUCUUCAGUUGAUAUCGUGAGAUUUUGGUUAGAUCCAUCCAUCAACGUAAACCCUUACUUUAUUUUUUUUAUAAAGUAGUUUAUUACUGGAGCCAGUGAUAAUAAUAGGGACUAAGACAAGUCAUCAUGACCUAAAUAUUGUGGGC